Passer domesticus (house sparrow) is the source of this 4216-nucleotide long non-coding RNA. RefSeq lists it as uncharacterized. NCBI's taxonomy places the organism in Eukaryota, Metazoa, Chordata, Aves, Passeriformes, Passeridae. The record is from RefSeq and is a predicted model, not a curated record. The transcript has 5 exons.
UUGCAGAAUGAACCAUACAUAAUCAAAGUGGUGGAUCACUCUCAGGUUCUUCCUGGGACCAGACAAUUUGUUUGAAGGAAUACUUAGGAGACUGGCAAAACCUGUAAAACUUUCAAUGCCUUAAUAAACUGCUGUUUUCUGGUCCUUCAGAAGUUGCCAUAUUUUUCAUCUCAUUGUACAUGUGCUACAUAUUGUAUAGGACAAGACGGGAAGCAGAAAGGAAAAGUGAUUUCAUUGUCAAGGCUGCUGCAUGCUUUGGCAGAACUGGUGAAACAUCUGACUUUAGACAGUUCUUCAGAACCAAUCUGUCACAUCCUCAUCUGUUGUAAGUCAGCCAUGGAUAAUUUGGCUUUAUUUUGAAUCUGUAAGCAAACUUAUUUAGACCAACAAACCAUCUCAAGGGCUCAUACCUUUUUUUUUGAUUGAUGGUUCUGAUCCUUUGAUUGUGAUUCAGAAGAUUGUGAGUCAGAAAGCAAGACUGACUCACAUUAAAAACAGUUCAGUGCUCUUUUCAGCAAGAAGGGAACAAAGUAUUUUCUGCUUAUAAAUCUGAUUCAAAAUUUCCUUUAAUGUCAUUUUUUCCCAGCUUCUACUGGCUUCGUUUGUAGGAGGUGUUUUUGUGGUUUUUUUAGGUUUUGUGGCUUUGUUUUGUUAUUUUGAGGUUAUGUUUUGUUUUAGAUUUAAUGUAUUUGGCUUACAGCAGGGUUUGGGUAACAAAAGCAGGGUUUGUGAAGAGACACCAAGAGCUGCCCCAGUGUUGGACACAGACAGUUCCAGCCAUGUCCAAGGACCUGUCACUGGUUGAUGUUAAGCCAUCAGUGAUGCUGGUGGCAUCUCAUUGGUAAGAAGGGGAAAAAAUGCUGAAGUUGUGAGACAGAGGAGUGAGAAUAUGUGAGAACAAAACUGUGUUGACUACAAGGUCAGUGAAAGAGGAGAAGAAGCUGUUCCAAUUCCCAGAGCAAAGAUUCCCUGCAGCAGUAAUUAAUAAUUACUUAUAUUUCUGCAGGUUAUGAUUUUCCAAGUUAUGAUUUUUGCAUGCUACCUAUAUCAGUUUUAUCAGAUUUUUGGAGAAAAUUUUGUGUUAAAGGUAGGAAAAUGUGUUGAUUUCCUUGGCAUAGUCAGCCUUUUUAAACAUGGAAAAUGCUUUAUAAUAAGACAUUUCAAAGAAUAUUGAACAAAAAAGACUCUUUUCUAAAAAAUAAUUAUGUGCUUGAGAUUUACGGAGUAUGGGCUAAAGAAAUAAAUAAAGAAAAAAGCCACCAAAUUCUGAACAAAUAUCAAGGGUCAUUUCUUCAUGCAGUGAAUUCUAACUAUGUUAUUGUUACAUAAUGGUUUUCAACUCAAUUGGGCUGGAAAAAUAGAGAGGAAAAGCAGUGAAUAAUCAUAAGAGUGCUCCCUGUGGAGGAAUAGAAUUUGAGAAGGGAAAGGACCAAUACUUCUACAUCUUCAUGGUGAGAAGCUUUAAAGGAAUGUCUAAUUUACUACACUUGUCUGCAUUCUUGCCCAAUAGUUCUUCGGUCAAAGUCCCUACCUUCAGUGAGAAAACUAAUAAUAAAAUUUAGCAAUGUGAAGAAUUUCAUUGGAAUGAAAACUAGAAAUGUUUAAAUAUACCAAGGUAGUGGCAAAAAACCAGUCCAUGUGUGGGACCUAAAAACAAAGUUCAGCAAGAAGAAUUGUGAAUAUUGGCUACAGCACACAGUGACAAACUGCACAAUACAGGAGCAGAAACACUGAGGGAGCUUGGUGUACUGCUCUCAUGGAUAUAUGAAACAAAGGAUUAAGAGGCACAUAGGUGCUUACAGUGGUGCUCUGUUGAAAUCAAUGCAGAUAUGAAACAAAGAUGGAGCAACACAGAAAUGUUGUAGUUGUGCUCCAUCAAGAACCAUACAGCCAGUAAGAACUAAAUCAAAGGAUGAUCAGAUGAUAACAGAAAGCUGAACUUUGCUUCAUUAACUUGAAAAUGCAUAUUACUUUUUAUGUGCCUACCUAUGCUAAUGACUAAACUCACUUCAACUCCACCCAUAAGUAUAGUUUUAUAGUCCAAAAACAUGAAAUAAUAUCAACUGUAACUUCAUCAUUUCCCCUUCCUCAAAGGAAAUAAUGUAAAUGGCUUAAGUUGGCCAAAGACUACUUCAUUGUAACUUCUGGGAUUGGUCAGUGAGCUAAACCUGUCUUUUCUUCCAUAUGGAUGCCUACUGGGUAAGAACCUUACUUUAUAUGUGCUAAAUGAUGACUUCGAGCUACUUUUAAUUGGUGACUAGAGUUUGUCUGUGUAGUGCAUCAGAUUAAUCUUUGCAGUCAGUUGCAAUCAAUGAAAAUCUCUGAACUUUGUCACUAGUGUUUUCAAUUAUCUCUAUGUUUGUUAAGAAAGUGUGUUAUUCCAUGAACUGUGAGUCCUUCAAGGACAGCAGCAGCAGCCAGCAGUGGAAGAUAUACCAAGAAUGCAUGCUGUCACUGUGUGACCCUGAAUAGGUUAGUCAGACCACUGUCUGGUACAGUGAUCUGUUCAGUGUGAUGCCUAAAAAUUUUUGAUUGUUAUGUAUUUUUCAUAUAUUCAUAGCUCUGUAUACUAAUUAUGAAGCUCCUGGUAUUUUUCCUACCCUAUUUGUUAGAUUUUAUAGUAACAAACUAACCUUCUAACAUAUUCCUGAAAUACUGUUUAAUAUUAUUUCCAAGUAGGGCAAAGAAGACAUAAUAAGAAGUGGGACGAAGAAGCCCUUGGACCAGCUCCAAGGGGCUGACCCAGGGUUAGGUUACUGGGGCAACUGAAUCUCCUAUUGGAUGUACCUGUUAGCUAUCUUAAUUAAUAAACCUUACAAAAUUUCAGAAAUCUGAUGACUUUGUGCCCAUCACCACCAGGACACCAGGGCGCUUCCAAAUAAAGGUCUGCUUUUUACUUUACUAUUUUAACACUGUUGCAAGGGUUUUUGCUCUUUUGAUUUCAAGCAACAAGUUGAAUCCCUAAAAACAGGCACUGACAGACUGGUAGAGCCCGAGGAUCUUGUUUGUACUGGGGCUCUGAUAGUUUGAUCAAAUAUAAAGGGUUCAAGAAAAUCUUCACCUUUCAUAUGACAGCAUGUCAUGUCUAUACCUGCUUUAUGAAUAUAAUUUUGAUGGUAAGAGGUCCAGUAAAUGUUUAACAGACAAGAAUUGUUUAAAUACACUAUUUUAUUAGAGAGUGCAGCUAAAUUAUUGAUGUUCACCUCACCUAGGAACAAACUCCUGAAAAAAACCACUUCUUGCUUUGCUAGGUUGCUGUAAUAGUUUGGUGUGUUUUUGUUCCUUUGGUAGGUUAAUUUGUUCUUCCUGUGAUGCCUGUUAAUUUUCUGUAUCUUUCCAACACAAAAUCUUCAGGACAGGCUCUUCAUAUAUGCACUGUUAUGUAAGCUGCUCUUUUACAAACCAGACACACAAAGGAAGUAAAUUAGCACUGUGUCAUUAAAGCCCAGCUUUGGAUUGCCAAUUAACCAAAGGCUGGAUCCACAGUCGUUGUCAAGCUCUUAACUGCCAAAUUGUAGACAAAUGGAGACAAGGGUUUAGUGAAUUUUCAAAAUAAUCAUACCAGGGAUGUAUGAUUAUUGAUUAUUGAUAUGAUUGUAUUGUAUUGUAUGAUACAAACAAUGCUAUGAAAUCAAAUGAGGCACAGUCAAAGCAAAACUUGGUGUGAAUGUACAAAUAAACAGGUAAAAGUACUUAAUAUUAUCUCCUCUCAUGAGACUGAGCUAUAUCAUUUUUGCCAUAAUGAGAACGUGAUGUUAUUUUAAUUGUAAUGUAACAGGUUAAAAGGCAAUUUUUUCUGUUAAGUCAGAGUUUCACAGCAGCAUUGAAAAUCUAAGUUCCAAACCAACACAGUGUAAGAUGUAUCUGAUUCUCAAUUAAUAUUGAAAACUACUAAGUCCUGGACAAGUGCUCAGAUUCAGUAUACAAGUAGCACCAAAACUGCAACACCACAAUCUAUGUUAUACUCAGAAGUGUCUGUCAUGAACCUUUAUAGACCCUUUCUUUUCAUGAUUACAAGAAAGGAGUCAUUAAGUUGGUACUUUAAACUUCUGAAUUGUUCAAAGGAAAGGAUUGGGAUUUAAGGCACUACCAUAUUUUCUGCCUGUUCAUUUUACAAUCAUGUCUUCAAGACAGGAGUAUUAGUGAGAUGAUACCUCUCUUGCCUUUUAUUCCUGGUUCCUAUAAUGGGUUCCUAUGUAAGCCACCUAGUGUAUAA